Long non-coding RNA from Felis catus (domestic cat), 4032 nucleotides. RefSeq lists it as uncharacterized. The transcript has 3 exons. Lineage: Eukaryota; Metazoa; Chordata; Mammalia; Carnivora; Felidae. The record is from RefSeq and is a predicted model, not a curated record.
CCUCUCUCUGACCCUCUCUGACUCUGCGUGCACUUUCUCCCUCUCUCGAAAAAAUAAAUAAAUAAACAUGAAAAAAAGCAAUAAGGCUGAUCCUUUGUAGAGGAGGCAAGAAGGUUAGCAUGUUUCAUGUGUAAAUAGCAUCCAUGGCACCUCAAAUAUGACAGACAAAUAGGGCGCCUCCUCUAAGGAUGACUAUGUGGAACCAACACCCCAACAAACCCAAGUCCUUCCUGUAUUUAAAAGUAACGUCACUCAUUGGAUAUAUAAGUUUAGACAAAUUCCAAAGCUCAAAUAAACUCAGUUCUUAUAUCACCAAGUUUGGGGGAAGAAAGAAAAAAAGCAUAAUAAAUGCUUUACUUACAGUACAAUGCAUAGAAAAAUAAUAUUAUCUGUGUUUCCCAACUUAAUAGGCGUCCUACACAGUCACACCUUGUGUGUAUAAGAAGGGAAAAGCACCAAAUGCCUCCCCAGCGACCUGCAGGGCAAGCAAACCAAUGACCCCUGGAAAAGUGAGUUUUGGCUCUUGUUCUUUGCUAAGUGACUUAGAAACUCUUAUAGACGUACAUUUUCUGAAGCUUUUGGCAGACUGAAAAACUGGGUAAAUCUUCCAGCAGGUUGUAAGAUAGAUCUCUGAAAAACAGAAGGUACAAAAGGGAAAAUCUGUUAUAUAUUAAUCUUAAGGAAACAUGCUUUGCUCUCCUUUCCUCUCCAAGAUGAUAUAUCUCCCAAAGGCAGACUCUGAACGUUUCCCCAGCCCUGACAUGGAGCAGGUAGUCAGAGGCAUUAUUGGAUUAAGCAUAGAUCCAAACGUUUACUGAAAUGUGUCUGUUUUACUUCUUUAAUUGAUUUAAAUAAUUUACUUAACAAAUUUAUUUAUAUUUUGUUAGUGAUGAUCUACAAUGUUCUAGCUAUUAUCUUGCAGAAAUGAGUCCAAAUUAAAUUAAAUAAUUGUGUCUCUCUUUCUAGGAGCUGCUAUAUCUCUACAGCUAAGAGAAUCAUUGUUGGUUCUUUUCUAAUCAGCUAAAAAAAAAAUCCAACAACAAGUCAAAACAUAGCACUAACUUUGAAAUCAAUCACUACAAGGGGGAAAAAAAAAUCUAAGAAAGUCUUCAGCCAAAACUCAACAAAUUACAGAAUAAGAAAAACAUCUGGACAUAUUUAUAGUAUAAUAUAACUAAUCUAAAACAAGCCAUGGUAAUUUGCAGAAAGCUUAAAAAAAGAAAGCUGGUAGAUAAAGUAACAUAGAUAUUUAAAAAAAAUCUUGUCUCAUGUUUUAAAAGUUAUCGGCUAAUCAACUAACACACUUUCAUGCCUGAUUCUAAUUCUUAAAACCAGAUCACCACCAUGGAACUGAAAAAUCCAUACUGUUUUCUAAGAGGCUUUUAAAUUAUCUUGUUCUUGUAAUUGAUCACUUUUUUCUACAUUUAGUGAAUAAAUGGAAUUCAUAUAGAAAUACAGUUCACUUACCACACACAAAUAAUGCAAAUGAAGCUGUUUGCAAACACAAGUUUGUAGUUUAUACUAGAGGCUUGAAAGACCAAAGUAAACCAAACAAAAUAUGAAAAAACCCAAAACCAUACCCCACACCUAUGCACAAAUAUACCUGGUUAAAAAUUCAGUGUAUAUCUUUAAAAAGUAGUAAAUGUGAUAAAAUGGACAUACAUAUCAUCAAAGCUGAUAAUAAUUUGGUUCGCUCAUCUCCACACACUGCAAGGAGACAAAUCCUUCCUGUGCACCUCUUAGUAGAGGAUACAUAAAACCUUCUCCCACGUAAAGACCCAGUGUCACCUUCUACCUACCUUCUACCUAAUGAUUUUCAUGGCUAACAUUGAUGAAGCACUUCUUAAAUAUAGACACCAUGUUUAAAGCUUUACCUAAAUUACUUCAUUUGACCUGUGGUCACCUUAUGAGGGAGACACUGAUUAUCACCAUACAAUGUGAAAUAAUUUGCCUAAGAUCACCAGCUACUUAGUGGGGAAAGCCACACACAGCCAGGGAAUUCCCAUGGAGGUGAGGCAACUUGGGGGCAGUUUCUUCAUGUACAGGUACUCAGUGGAUGAUUCAGCCAAAGGUGGAAGCUCACAGACCUAUGUUUCCAGAACAUAAAGUAGACUGUAGUAGAGGUCGGGACCCUGAGUCCUAUUCUCAGCCUCAACUUGGAUUCUUCAACUUGGUCAAUAUGUUGGUCAAAGCAUUAUACCUUUUUUAGUUCUCUCCUUAAAUGAGAAGAUACCUGCUGAUCUUGCAGUGUUGUGAAGAACAAAUCAAAAUUACAGGUUGAAGUGCUUUGAAAAUGACAAGCUUCUGUGGUUAAUGGAUUUGUAUUCUUUCAGACCUUUCAAGUUUCAGCUUGAGGAAAGAAUAGCUUGAAGAAAGAAUAACGGUUUAAGGGAAAUGAGAAAGAAGUUGAUAAGAGCUAACACUGCCUGAGAGUUUACGAUGUUCCAGUGCUGGUAUAAGUGUCUGACAUGUAGUAAUUCAUUUAAUCCUCAUGAUGAUCCUCUGAAGGAAAUGGCUAUGUCUCUAUUUUAUAGAUUGGGAAAUGGAACCCCAGAAGGGAUAAAUAACUUGCUUAAGAUCUCUUGCUGGUGUAUAGAGAGAUGGGAUUUGAACCAGAAAAACAGACCAGGGACUUUGCUCUUAGCCAAUUUAUGCAAUUCUAGACCUGGGUGGUUUACCAUUUGCUAUGUGACAUAGUGGAGACAGAUGCAGUUUAAAUGCUGGCUCCUUAAGUAUUAGCUAUAGCCUGUGAAAUCUUAGUCAUGUUAUUAAGCCAGUUUCCUUGAGAAAUGAGGGUAAUUAUGCCAUUUUGGGUGGGUAGGCAGAAUUCUAAAAUGGCCCCUAAGAUUUCCACUACCUGGUGUUCAUGCACUUUCUCCUGGUAUUCAUGCACUUUCACCAGCUAUUCAAUCAAACUGCCUGUAUUUGAAUUUGGACUCUGCUACUUUCUUGCUGUGUGACUUUGACAAAUGUGCUUAACUGUCCUAAUUGUCAGCUUCCUCAUCUGUAUCUACACCUCAGAGGGCGAUGUGGGAGAAGAGGAGGAGACUUACUCUAUGUUCCCUCCCUUUACACACAAAUGACUGACUCCAAGGCUGUCACGUGGUGUUACUACAACCUCCUAUCACCGAACAACUGAAGUCUGAAGUGGCAAGGGGGCUGGGGAGAGGGGAAGGCAGAAUCAUUAUGGCAGACAUUCCCAUUCUUCCCCUUACAUUUGUAGUGCUGCUUGUAGCUCUGCUACUGGGUGAAGCCUGUGGUGGAAUUAGAGGCAUUCAACUGACACAGAUGUCUCCUCUGUGAGAACACAGCCAUGACUGGAGACUAAGGGUCCAUUCAUUAAGUCCCCACAAUGCAUGAGAGGAUGGUAAUAGGGUUGGGAGUUGAGGGGAAGGGCUGAAAAUGGAAGGUCAAAACAAAGCUCUUCAAAUUCCUAUAAACUACUUUUCAGAAAGGGAAAGGCAGAGGAAAAAAAACCAACAACCCAAGUCAACAGAAAUAAUAUAUGCAAGCUGUUUAACCAUUAGUGGAAACACUAGAACAUGGCACCCACAACUAUACCGGAAGAAUGUUUGGUCACCUUUAUCAAGGAUGGAAAAAUCAAAAAGAACUAUGGCCACUUACAUUGUAAUAAGAGAAGGAUUGCCUACAAAUGCUUUCUCAGGACUGGAAGGUGCUUUGCAUUGCUAAGAUAUCAUGCCCAGCCCUGUGUGGAUAAGGGAGAAGUUCUAAUUUUACCAAGCAGCUCAUGGGAAUGGCUUGCUUAUGCCAUGAAAUUGACUUCAAAGUUCUGGAUAAGUUCAUCUUUGGCAUCUCCUUAUGAGGAUGGUUCCUCUCUUCUAAGAGGAGGCACAGGGUGAUUUAAGUAACCCUGGAAAGAGAGCGUGAGCACUCAUUGACCUGGAGAAGACCACUAACAACAGAUGGUCCCUCAGGAAAUCACCAGACCCAGACCUGGUUCGAAGCUAAACCGACCAUGUACGAAUGCUAAGCUCUGUAUUCAAAUAAAUAAUGGGCUCCAAGGCCACAGAA